GCUUUGUUUCUCUGUAGGACGGCGGAGCCCAGGGCGCCUGCGGGAGCCCCGUGCCCGGAGCCAGGCCGGCGAUGGGGGCACUUCCCCGGCGUGCGCCGGCAGGCCCGAGCCUCUGCCGGGGCCAGGCGGGCACUGAAGGCAAAAGUGGGGAGGUGAGCCUUGGGGAGACCUGAAGUUAUGGCUGCGGCUGACAGUGAAGAGGUGUGUGAUGUGGGCAGUUGUCUGGUUUGCUCUACCGUGCCUGAAUCUCUAGCAAAUAAUGGGCACUGUGAAGGCAGAGGUGGGGAGUUGAGCCUUGGGGAGACCUGAAGUUCAGGCUGCAGCUGACAAUGAAGAGAUGUGGAUGAGGACAUUGUCUGGUUUGCUCCACCAUGUGUGCCCCUUUGUCAGGGGAGAAUGGUUGAGAUUUACAAAAAGUUGUCCUGGGUCCUGCUGGAGUUUGAGUGUUCUGCUUAAGAAGAUGGAUGGUUCUGCUGCUCCCUUGCUGCUGCCUGGGAUCCUCAUUCAAGCCACAGCAUUCCCAUACCCUGCAAUAGUUCUGACCUCUCAAAGCUGUCAGGAGUGAUGAAUUUGUGUCCUGCCAGCUUAGACAGAGGGUGUUACAAUUUCUAUCCCCUGGGUACAAGGCAUGUAACUGGAGUGGAUUCUGGAACUUGCUGCGUGUUUAAUGCAGUUGGAUGCUUUUAUCGGCAGGGGCUGCAUUCCCAACCUGGCACAGAUCAUGCCAUAGCAUGCAAGGCAAGGAAGCCUUUCCUGGGAGCAGCUGUCAGCUACUGGGAGGAUGGAUGGCCUUGUGUGUAAGGAGGGGAGUCAGGGCUUGGUUCUCCCCUGCCAUCCAGAAAGCUGCAAUGCUGUAUCCCUGGCAGCCUGUGAAGCGGGCAAGGUGUGUCUGGGGUGCUGCAGCACAGUGUGUUUCUGUACUGUUCCAAGCCUGGUUUUAAUAAAACCUUGAGUAAUGGC
This is a long non-coding RNA of Melospiza melodia melodia, 960 nucleotides long. RefSeq lists it as uncharacterized. Lineage: Eukaryota; Metazoa; Chordata; Aves; Passeriformes; Passerellidae. The transcript is spliced from 4 exons. The record is from RefSeq and is a predicted model, not a curated record.